AGAAAUGUAAUGACUGGGAUAAGUAAGUGUAAAUCUGCCAUCCAGAGAAGUAUCGCCACUGGCUGAGAGUGAUACUAGGUAAGAUACGCCCAAAUGCACCCAAGAACAGGUUGGUCGAAGUUAUAGUAGGCCCGCUCGGUAGCAGCCGUUAUUGUGCGAUUAAGGGGCAUUUUAUGCCUAAGCAGAGUGGAACCACGGACCACUGUCUCUGUA
Molecule: non-coding RNA, 213 nt
Filed under: Pelosinus sp.
Lineage: Bacteria; Bacillati; Bacillota; Negativicutes; Selenomonadales; Sporomusaceae
Description: T-box sequence
Rfam family: T-box leader
About the family: Uncharged tRNA acts as the effector for transcription antitermination of genes in the T-box leader family. T-boxes are found upstream of many aminoacyl-tRNA synthetase genes and some amino acid biosynthetic genes usually in Gram-positive bacteria.
Source: RNAcentral